RNAcentral lists this ribosomal RNA (433 nucleotides) under uncultured bacterium. RNAcentral describes it as "partial 16S ribosomal RNA". It matches the Rfam family "Bacterial small subunit ribosomal RNA", at positions 29 to 507 of the family's 1533-position model. The record is from RNAcentral.
AGCGAACGCUGGCGGCAGGCUUAACACAUGCAAGUCGAGCGGGCCCUUCGGGGUCAGCGGCGGACGGGUGAGUAACGCGUGGGAACGUGCCUUCUGGUCUGGAAUAACCCUGGGAAACUAGGGCUAAUACCGGAUACGCCCUUUUGGGGGAAGGUUUACUGCCGGAAGAUCGGCCCGCGUCUGAUUAGCUAGUUGGUGGGGUAACGGCCUACCAAGGCGACGAUCAGUAGCUGGUCUGAGAGGAUGAUCAGCCACACUGGGACUGAGACACGGCCCAGACUCCUACGGGAAGUAGCAGUGGGGAAUAUUGGACAAUGGGCGCAAGCCUGAUCCAGCCAUGCCGCGUGAGUGAUGAAGGCCUUAGGGUUGUAAAGCUCUUUUAUCCGGGACGAUAAUGACGGUACCGGAGGAAUAAGCCCCGGCUAACUUCGUG